Molecule: ribosomal RNA, 490 nt
Filed under: uncultured bacterium
Lineage: Bacteria
Description: partial 16S ribosomal RNA
Rfam family: Bacterial small subunit ribosomal RNA
Source: RNAcentral
AUUGAACGCUGGCGGCAGGCCUAACACAUGCAAGUCGAACGGUAACAGGAAGAAGCUUUCUUCUUUGCUGACGAGUGGCGGGGGGGUGAGAAAUGUCUGGGAAACUCCCUGUUUUCGGGGGGUAACUCCUGGAAACGGUAGCUCAUACCGCAUAACGUCGCAAGAGCUAAGAGGAGGACCUUCUGGCCCCUUGCCAUCUGGUGUGCCCAGAUGGGAUUAGCUAGUAGGCGGGGUAACGGCUCACCCAGGCGACGAUCCCUAGCUGGUCUGAGAGGAUGACCAGCCACACUGGAACUGAGACACGGUCCAGACUCCUACGGGAGGCAGCAGUGGGGAAUAUUGGACAAUGGGCGCAAGCCUGAUGCAGCCAUGCCGCGUGUAUGAAGAAGGCCUUCGGGUUGUAAAGUACUUUUGUCGGGGAAGAAGGGAGUAAAGUUAAUACCUCGGCGCAUUGACGUUACCCGAAGAAGAAGCACCGGCUAACUCCGUG